ACUCGAGUGGCGAACGGGUGAGUAACACGUGGGUGAUCUGCCUUGCACUUCGGGAUAAGCCUGGGAAACUGGGUCUAAUACCGGAUAGGACCAUGCUUUAGUGUGUGUGGUGGAAAGUUUUUUCGGUGCAAGAUGAGCCCGCGGCCUAUCAGCUUGUUGGUGGGGUAAUGGCCUACCAAGGCGACGACGGGUAGCCGGCCUGAGAGGGUGUACGGCCACAUUGGGACUGAGACACGGCCCAGACUCCUACGGGAGGCAGCAGUGGGGAAUAUUGCACAAUGGGCGCAAGCCUGAUGCAGCGACGCCGCGUGGGGGAUGACGGCCUUCGGGUUGUAAACUCCUUUCGCUAGGGAAGAAGCCACUGUGUGGUGACGGUACCUGGAUAAGAAGCACCGGCUAACUACGUGCCAGCAGCCGCGGUAAUACGUAGGGUGCGAGCGUUGUCCGGAAUUACUGGGCGUAAAGAGCUCGUAGGUGGUUUGUCGCGUCGUCUGUGAAAUCCCGGGGCUUAACUUCGGGCGUGCAGGCGAUACGGGCAUAACUAGAGUGCUGUAGGGGAGACUGGAAUUCCUGGUGUAGCGGUGAAAUGCGCAGAUAUCAGGAGGAACACCGAUGGCGAAGGCAGGUCUCUGGGCAGUUACUGACGCUGAGGAGCGAAAGCAUGGGUAGCGAACAGGAUUAGAUACCCUGGUAGUCCAUGCCGUAAACGGUGGGCGCUAGGUGUGGGGGUUUUAUUUACGAUUCCCGUGCCGUAGCUAACGCAUUAAGCGCCCCGCCUGGGGAGUACGCCGCAAGGCUA
RNAcentral lists this ribosomal RNA (799 nucleotides) under uncultured Actinomycetes bacterium. Its description in RNAcentral is "bacterial SSU rRNA". It matches the Rfam family "Bacterial small subunit ribosomal RNA", at positions 89 to 896 of the family's 1533-position model. The record is from RNAcentral. Lineage: Bacteria; Bacillati; Actinomycetota; Actinomycetes.